RNAcentral lists this ribosomal RNA (465 nucleotides) under Vreelandella stevensii. RNAcentral describes it as "partial 16S ribosomal RNA". It matches the Rfam family "Bacterial small subunit ribosomal RNA", at positions 338 to 795 of the family's 1533-position model. Lineage: Bacteria; Pseudomonadati; Pseudomonadota; Gammaproteobacteria; Oceanospirillales; Halomonadaceae. The record is from RNAcentral.
CCUACGGGGGGCUGCAGUGGGGAAUAUUGGACAAUGGGGGGAACCCUGAUCCAGCCAUGCCGCGUGUGUGAAGAAGGCCCUCGGGUUGUAAAGCACUUUCAGUGAGGAAGAACGCCUGGUGGUUAAUACCCAUCAGGAAAGACAUCACUCACAGAAGAAGCACCGGCUAACUCCGUGCCAGCAGCCGCGGUAAUACGGAGGGUGCGAGCGUUAAUCGGAAUUACUGGGCGUAAAGCGCGCGUAGGUGGCUUGAUAAGCCGGUUGUGAAAGCCCCGGGCUCAACCUGGGAACGGCAUCCGGAACUGUCAAGCUAGAGUGCAGGAGAGGAAGGUAGAAUUCCCGGUGUAGCGGUGAAAUGCGUAGAGAUCGGGAGGAAUACCAGUGGCGAAGGCGGCCUUCUGGAAUGACACUGACACUGAGGUGCGAAAGCGUGGGUAGCAAACAGGAUUAGAUACCCUUGUAGUC